AAAAUCCUAACAAAAUUUAUGUUAUCUUAUCCUUACAAACUUCCUUUGACAUUUACUUCCCUCCACUAUGAACUUUCCCUAAACAUGUUCCAAAGACACUACGACAGAUGCCUCAGUCAGUAGCCACAGAAUCGAGAUGUUGUCUCACAAGGAUGGAUAUUGAUAGCUUGGCUCAUUGUAGAAAGAGUUUUCACGUUCCAUAUGCAGUUCAGAUUGGGCUUGUCAUCGGCUCAAAAGGGCUGGGAGGGCUCCAUAGCUGUCAUCAUGGCCAAAUACAUAAGAUCUAUGAACUGAUCUAUAAGAAGACACCACUGAACUAGCAAGAGUAACAUUCCUCCUAGCUUUGAAGGUUACCUCUUUCAAGCUUCUGGUCAUGCCUCUCCUUGUACGUUAAUUUAUUGUACCAUGAUAUCAUGUUCUUGAUCCCCUGGUAAGGUGUUUUACUUGUUGAUUAAUAUUCUGGAACUGAAAGUAGCUCUUGUUCUCAUGAAGCUUGAUCCCCUGGUAAGGUGUUUGACUUGUUGAUUAAUAUUCGGGAACUGAAAGUAGCUCUCGUUCUCGUGGAGCUUGAUUCUCUGGUAAGGUAUUUGACUUGUUGAUUAAUAUCCUAGAACUCAAAGUAGCUCUCGUUCUCGUGGAGCUUGAUUCCCUUGUAAGGUGUUUGUCUUGUUGAUUAAUAUCCUGGAAAAAGUAGCUCUCAUCCUCGUGGAGCUUGAUCCCCUGGUAAGGUGUUUGACUUGUUGAUUAAUAUCUUGGAAUUGAAAAUAGCUCUUGUCCUCGUGGAUCUUGAUCCCCUGGUAAGGUGUUUGACUUGUUGAUUAAUACCCUGGAACUCAAAGUAGCUCUCAUCCUCGUGGAGCUUGAUCCCUUGAUAAGGUGUUUGACUGUUCAUUAAUAUCCUGGUACUGAAAGUAGCUCUCGUCCUAGUAAGGUGUCUAGUCGAUGGAGCUUCCUUUGUAUGAGAACGUGAAGCGUCCCGCCGUCCACCACCAUCAACCAUUCUUCCAGCGCUAUGCCUUCCUCCUGAGAAGUGGCCAUGGUUUCUAUCUUGGCUUGGUGAAAUUUCAUACCUUUAGAGGCUGAGGUGUCCAUGGUAAGCACACCGCACUCUAGUAAGGGGUUGUGAGGGCUCCAUAGCUGUCAUCACGGCCAGAUACAUAAGAUCUAUGAACUGAUCUAUAAGAAGACACCAUUGAACCAGCAAGAAUAACAUUCCUCCUAGCUUUGAAGGUUACCUCUUUCAAGCUUCUGGUCAUGCCUCUCCUUGUAUGUUAAUUUAUUGUACCAUAACAUCAUGUUCUUGAUCCCCUG
This 1311-nucleotide long non-coding RNA is filed under the name Setaria italica (foxtail millet). RNAcentral's name for it is "long non-coding RNA (SITA_LNC000828)". The record is from RNAcentral. Lineage: Eukaryota; Viridiplantae; Streptophyta; Magnoliopsida; Poales; Poaceae.